RNAcentral lists this ribosomal RNA (252 nucleotides) under uncultured bacterium. RNAcentral describes it as "partial 16S ribosomal RNA". It matches the Rfam family "Bacterial small subunit ribosomal RNA", at positions 524 to 776 of the family's 1533-position model. The record is from RNAcentral.
UACGUAGGGUGCAAGCGUUAAUCGGAAUUACUGGGCGUAAAGCGUGCGCAGGCGGUUUUGUAAGUCUGUCGUGAAAUCCCCGGGCUCAACCUGGGAAUUGCGAUGGAGACUGCAAGGCUAGAAUCUGGCAGAGGGGGGUAGAAUUCCACGUGUAGCAGUGAAAUGCGUAGAGAUGUGGAGGAACACCGAUGGCGAAGGCAGCCCCUGGGUCAAGAUUGACGCUCAUGCACGAAAGCGUGGGGAGCAAACAGG